CAGCCGCCGCGGGAAUACGAAGGGGGCUAGCGUUGCUCGGAAUUACUGGGCGUAAAGGGAGCGUAGGCGGACAUUUAAGUCAGGGGUGAAAUCCCAGAGCUCAACUCUGGAACUGCCUUUGAUACUGGGUGUCUUGAGUGUGAUAGAGGUAUGUGGAACUCCGAGUGUAGAGGUGAAAUUCGUAGAUAUUCGGAAGAACACCAGUGGCGAAGGCGACAUACUGGAUCAUUACUGACGCUGAGGCUCGAAAGCGUGGGGAGCAAACAGGAUUAGAUACCCCAGUAGUCCCUGUCUCUUAUAC
Molecule: ribosomal RNA, 301 nt
Filed under: uncultured bacterium
Lineage: Bacteria
Description: partial 16S ribosomal RNA
Rfam family: Bacterial small subunit ribosomal RNA
Source: RNAcentral